GCUUGGGUGGCUCAGUGGUUGAGCAUCUGCCUUCAGCUCAGGGUGUGACCCCGGGGGUCCCGGGAUAGAGUCCCGCCUCAGGCU
RNAcentral lists this transfer RNA (84 nucleotides) under Canis lupus familiaris (dog). It matches the Rfam family "tRNA". Rfam says of the family: Transfer RNA (tRNA) molecules are approximately 80 nucleotides in length. Lineage: Eukaryota; Metazoa; Chordata; Mammalia; Carnivora; Canidae. The record is from Rfam by way of RNAcentral. RNAcentral also lists the same sequence under 1 other name.